GACGACGCUGGCGGCGUGCCUAUACAUGCAAGUCGAGCGGACAGAAGGGAGCUUGCUCCCGGAUGUUAGCGGCGGACGGGUGAGUAACACGUGGGUAACCUGCCUGUAAGACUGGGAUAACUCCGGGAAACCGGAGCUAAUACCGGAUAGUUCCUUGAACCGCAUGGUUCAAGGAUGAAAGACGGUUUCGGCUGUCACUUACAGAUGGACCCGCGGCGCAUUAGCUAGUUGGUGGGGUAAUGGCUCACCAAGGCGACGAUGCGUACCCGACCUGAGAGGGUGAUCGGCCACACUGGGACUGAGACACGGCCCCUACUCCUACGGGAGGCAGCAGGGAAGCUUCUUCCGUGGGGGACAGUCUGACGACGGAACACCGCCGGAAUGAUGAAGGUUUUCGGAUCGUAAAGCUCUGUUGUUAGGGAAGAACAAGUGCGAGAGUAACUGCUCGCACCUUGACGGUACCUAACCAGAAAGCCACGGCUAACUACGUGCCAGCAGCCGCGGUAAUACGUAGGUGACAAGCGUUGUCCGGAAUUAUUGGGCGUAAAGGGCUCGCAGGCAGUUUCUUAAGUCUGAUGUGAAAGCCCCCGGCUCACCGGGGAGGGUUAUUGGAAACUGGGAAACUUGACUGCAGAGAGGGGAUUGGAAUUCCCCUGGUACCGGGGAAUGGGAAAAGAUGGGAGGACCCCUGGGCGAAGCGACUUCCUGGCCUGAACGACCUGAGAGCAACCGUGGGACGCACAGGAUAGAUCCUGAACCCGCCUACCUGGGGUGUAAUGGUAAGGGGUUCCCCCUUAGGUGCAGUAACUUACCCCCCCGGGAGAAGGUCCAAAAUCGACCAAGGUGGGGGGCCCCAACAGGGGCC
This 865-nucleotide ribosomal RNA is filed under the name Bacillus pumilus. RNAcentral's name for it is "bacterial SSU rRNA". It matches the Rfam family "Bacterial small subunit ribosomal RNA". Lineage: Bacteria; Bacillati; Bacillota; Bacilli; Caryophanales; Bacillaceae. The record is from RNAcentral.